RNAcentral lists this ribosomal RNA (415 nucleotides) under uncultured bacterium. RNAcentral describes it as "bacterial SSU rRNA". It matches the Rfam family "Bacterial small subunit ribosomal RNA", at positions 355 to 787 of the family's 1533-position model. The record is from RNAcentral.
UGGGGAAUAUUGGACAAUGGGCGCAAGCCUGAUCCAGCCAUGCCGCGUGAGUGAUGAAGGCCCUAGGGUUGUAAAGCUCUUCAACGGUGAAGAUAAUGACGGUAGCCGGAGAAGAAGCCCCGGCUAACUUCGUGCCAGCAGCCGCGGUAAUACGAAGGGGGCUAGCGUUGUUCGGAUUUACUGGGCGUAAAGCGCACGUAGGCGGAUUUUUAAGUCAGGGUGAAAUCCCGGGGUCUCAACCCCGGGAACUGCCUUUGAUACUGGAAGUCUUGAGUAUGGAAGAGGUGAGUGGAAUUCCGAGUGUAGAGGUGAAAUUCGUAGAUAUUCGGAGGAACACCAGUGGCGAAGGCGGCUCACUGGUCCAUUACUGACGCUGAGGUGCGAAAGCGUGGGGAGCAAACAGGAUUAGAUACCC